UGGGGAAUUUUGGACAAUGGGCGCAAGCCUGAUCCAGCCAUGCCGCGUGCGGGAAGAAGGCCUUCGGGUUGUAAACCGCUUUUGUCAGGGAAGAAAUCUUCUGAGUUAAUACCUCGGGAGGAUGACGGUACCUGAAGAAUAAGCACCGGCUAACUACGUGCCAGCAGCCGCGGUAAUACGUAGGGUGCAAGCGUUAAUCGGAAUUACUGGGCGUAAAGCGUGCGCAGGCGGUUUUGUAAGACAGAGGUGAAAUCCCCGGGCUCAACCUGGGAACUGCCUUUGUGACUGCAAGGCUUGAGUGCGGCAGAGGGGGGAUGGAAUUCCGCGUGUAGCAGUGAAAUGCGUAGAUAUGCGGAGGAACACCGAUGGCGAAGGCAAUCCCCUGGGCCUGCACUGACGCUCAUGCACGAAAGCGUGGGGAGCAAACAGGAUUAGAUACCCUGGUAGUCCACGCCCUAAACGAUGUCAACUGGUUGUUGGGAAGGUUCCUUCUCAGUAACGUAGCUAACGCGUGAAGUUGACCGCCUGGGGAGUACGGCCGCAAGGUUGAAACUAAAGGAAUUGAC
RNAcentral lists this ribosomal RNA (566 nucleotides) under uncultured bacterium. RNAcentral's name for it is "partial 16S ribosomal RNA". It matches the Rfam family "Bacterial small subunit ribosomal RNA", at positions 355 to 914 of the family's 1533-position model. The record is from RNAcentral.